UAUUCUCUGUGUCUUUUUGUUUAUUUGUUUUUCCAGCUCUAUGGAGAUAUAAUUGACAUAUAACAUUGGAUAAAUUUAUGGUGUACAACAUGUUGAUUUCAUACACUUAUAUAUUGCAAAAUGAUUACCAUAUUAGAGAGCUCUUUCCAUAUUCCAGGUAAUGUGCAAUGUACUGUUUAAUUCUCAUAGCAGUCUUAUAGAGUGAAGAUGUUUUACAGAUGAAGGAACAGAGGCAUAGAGAAAUUAAGGUACUUGUCUCAGUAACAGUCUAUCUUCAAAGUCUACAUUCUUUUUGGGGGGGGGUUGGGUGAGGUAAUUAGAUUUAUUUAUUUAUUUAUUUUUAGAGGAGGUACUGGGGAUUGCACCCAGGACCUUGUGUGUGCUAAGCAUGCACUCUACCACUUGAGCUAUAUCCUUCCCACAAAGUCUACAUUCUUAACUACUGUUUUUUUUCAUAGUGAUGAAUUAGCCCAUCAAGUUGCAGGAGCAGUGAAUUAAUUGCUAACUGUAGGGUAAAUUUAAAGUUACUUAUACCAGUGACUCCAAUUAGCAGAAAUAUUUGAGAUACAUAAUUUGAAGCUUAUUGACUGGGGCAUUUAUCUUAGCUUAAUAGUUAGACUGUUUCCAUGCAAGAAUAUGACAGAGAGAAGUUUCCCAACUUCUGAAGAUUUAUAAAAUUUUAUAAAAUUUAGAUAAACUGUAACCUUGCAAAAAUGACUGCCACCUUCCUUUUUAUUGAGAAUACUUUCUUCUCCAGAGGAUUACACCAACAUACAUCUUGGCACAAAGGAAGUGACAUGGGGUGGAGGAGAGAGCAGUGAGGUAAAGUUUGAGGAGAAAAAUCACCUGGUUGAGAUCUUGAGUUGACAAGUUGAGUAUAAGUUGAAAAAGAUGAUAGGAGACCUUAAGUAUAAAAAAACUUCUAAAAAUUACUAUUAAGAAAAGACAUGUUUUUAAAAAUCUAAACUUAUACUUGAUAAGAAAAAAUGAUUUUCAUAGUUGAAGGGAUUUAUAACUUCAUAAAGUGUUUCUAUGUGACCUUGUUAAGCCUGGCUACAUUGAAAAAUAAACUCCAGUUCUCUUGCAGUGAAUUGGAGGAGUGAAGUAUAUCUGUAUGUUAUUUUUUGUUUUGGAGGAGAUAUACUACUUAUCUGCAUCUGUUGAGAUGCAUCAUUAAGAAUACAUUAACUUAUUUGGGGUACCAUUUUAACUAUUCCAGACUUAUUUGUAAUUGAAUGUAUCUUACAUUGUGAUUGUAUAUUUUCUAAUAAACAAGAUUAUUAUAUAUUUGUUCCUAAAGCCUUAAAAGUUUACUUAUUCAUAUUUAUCCUUUAAAUAUAUAUUCAAGGGGCCCAAGUAUGCACCAAUAACCAUGCCACUGCGGGGAGCGGAACAGUAAACACAAUACACAAAGCCCCUGCCCUCAUUAGACUUACAUUUUGGCAGGAAAGUGAGACAUUAGUCAAAUGAUAACACAGACGAUAAUGCUCAAGGGAAGGGCGAUGAAAGAGAAGUGUAGGGAGUAAUGAAGGCGAUGUAGCUGAAUGGGAAAGUCAGGGAAUAUUUUUCUAAGAAAGUAAUGAUUUAACUAAGGCCUGGUGGAAGAGAAUGGUUCAGAUUGGUGGAGUGGGACAAGUGCAUUUCAGGUAGAAGGCAUGAUGUGUGCAAAGCCCUGGAGGUGGGAAGAUGAUGGGGCUUUCCCAGAACUAAAAAUAGGUCCAGGGUGGCUGGAGUAUAGUGAUUGAGAAAAAGUUCUGUUAGUUGAGGCUAUGGAGAGACAGUUCAAGACCUUUAGGCUUCAAGCAUUAGGACUCCUCUGGUGGCAAGUAAGAGUUAGGUAUUCUAACUCUAUGCAUGGUUGGAGCUAGGAAUCCAGAUAAUGUCAUCAGGACUGGUUUUUUCUUUUAGUUCAACAUACCUCUGUUUGACUUUAUUUUUAGGCACUCUUCAUUUUGUGACAAGAUGGCCGCUGACAGCCUCAAGCUCGCAAUACCUUUAUAGCUCACAGUUCUGGGGAAGAAUGGCUCAAGCAGAAGUAUCAGAAAAGGCUCCAAAAGGCUCCAAGUAGCCAAGUUUAGCGUACAUACCCAUCCCGGAGUCUACCAGGUGGGCAGGGGAUGGAUCCAGGCGUGGAUCACAUAUCUAUUCUGGGAAUAUAGUUGUGUGAGGGAAGAACUCUGUCAGAAUCAUCUCAGUUACAUAGAGUAAAUAGUUUUAUAACUGGGUGGAGAAAAGCAGGUUCCACCAAAGGCAGGUUUCCUGAGUUGACAUAGAUACUUAUCCGCUGUACCCUACACCUCUCAACUGUUUUCACAUGAUCAUAAUCAUAGAAAAUAUUGUGGAAAAUGGAUAAAGCUACUUAUACCCAGCUUUUUCAGUCAACCCACAGUCCCUACCAGUGAUCUUGGAGCAUUAAAUGGAUCAAUUUUCCAUUUACAAAUGUAACCCAUUUGUGAUAUACCAAUGUUAGGAAGAAUGUUACUAUAAGCACUUAAGUAUUUUGGACUUUAUUUAAGAGAAAUAGGAAAGCAUUUAAGGUAAUUUGGACUCUAAAAAGAAACCUGGGCUCCUUGUAGAAGUGGCUGAUUCCAGGUGUGGGGCAAAACGAGCCUACAUCUAGUGCCAGAAAGCAAGGGAGUUUAUUAAAGACUUCAAAAGUCUUGCCAAAGGGACACAGGAGUCAAAUAAAGGGACUUCUAGUAGCCAAAGAUGGGGCAAUUAAAGCACUGAAAAGAAUAUCUGCAGUUGAUUUAAACACAUCAACUGUGUGGAAAAUCUAUGAGUUCAAAAUGAUACUAAAAAUAAGAUCACUGGCCACCUUUGGAGGUUGCUAGGGUUUUAGCUCUUUAUUCUAAAAAACAGAAAAUAAGGAGGAAGGGUAUAUAGCUCAGUAGCUAUGGUAGUGUGCGUGCUUAGCAUGCAUGAGGUCCUGGGUUCAAUCCCCAUUACCCUCAUUAAACAAACAAACCUAAUUACCUCCCCCUACCCCACAAGAAAAACCCAUUAAAAACCAGAAAAUAAAGACUCAAGCAUCUCUUCUGCCUAUCUAAAUUUCAGGGUAGUCAAAUAUUGAUGAGGUAAAGUUAUUUUCUAUAGCAUAAUCCAAACUACUAAAUACAAAAGGAUUAAUAGAAUUAGAAAAAUUCCCAUUUAGCAACCGUUAGGGAAAUAAAAGAUAGGGACAAGAAUCGUCAGUGAAUGGCAAAAACACUAAGUGGAAGAUUAAUGAGGAACUUUCUAAAGAAUGGAUGAGGUUAACAACACUUGAACCCACUGUUCAUUCUUAACAUCAUUAAAAAUGGGUAAGUGGUAUGUGCCUCCUGAUUUGAUGCAGCAGGAAGUACUCAGUAUGGCCUAUCAAAGUGUUCCUGCCAGAAAAAAAAAAAAAAAAAAGAACCAGAAUCUAAUCAAGCCUAUAGAUGUGAACUAUCAGUUUACAGGAAAUACAAAAGAUAAAUGCCACCACUAGUAAGUAAUCAUCUAAGCCCAGAAGGUGAUACAUUCUAUAGACAAAUGGUUCAGUUUCUUAAAGUUAAACAAAAAAUUGGCAUAGAAAAAAUAAAAGUUGAGAGAUCAGAAGUCAUAGGUGAAAAGAAACUUCAGAGAUACGUAAAUCAAAUGCAUUAUAGAGAUCUUAUUUUUGAUCUUGUUUUAAGUCAAAUGUAAGAAUACUUUUGAGGCAAUUGGAGAAAUUUGAAACUAGACAACAUUAGAUGAUAUUAAGGAAUUGUUAAUUCUGAGAUGUGUUAUAGUUAUACUUUUUUAGGUCUUUAUCUGUUAAAGAUAUUAAAGAAUUUAUGAUAGAAAUUAUAUGAUAUCUGGGAUUUGCCUCAAAAUACUCCAGUGGGGGAAGGAUGUCAGUAGGAUAGAUGAAACAAGAUUGGCAAAAUAUUUGCUGAAGUUGAGUGGGAGCUAUGUGGAGGCUCCUUACAUUGUUAUAUCUGUACUUUUUUGUGUUUUUAAAUUUCCACAAUUAAUUUAAAGUAAGUUAAUAAUAUAAUCAGCUUUGUCUUUUAGAAUAAGCUGGCCGCAGUGUGAAGUAUAAAUUGGAAUGGAUGUGGAGGACAUUUAUCAUGUUUGUAGCCACUCUUCCCAAAGACCCUUCCACAUUUGAGACCUUCUCAUGUUGACCUUCUCCUCUUAGAUAGAAGCCAAAAUGCAUUCACUCUCUCUCUCUCAUCUACCCUUGUUGCCAGGGCAUGAAUUUGUGUUUCUGGCUAUGCCAGUACCUGCCUCCAGUGUGAGACUUGCUAAGGAGUGGAGCAAAAGUGAGCAACAUGAGCAAAAUUGAUUUUGGCGAGGGAGCAAGGUCAGUGGCUUAAAUUUUGGAGAAAGCAGUGGCACAGCUCCUGGAACCUAGUCCCAUAGCUUCAUCAGCAUGGAUGUGGGAUCUGUGCUGAGCCAGGGUUGGUAGGGUGUCUUUUCUGGGGCAGCUUCUGCAUUGUGAUCCAGCCAUUGUUCCUAGCUGCAAAGUCUGAAUCUCUAUCCCUCCUAGAGUCUAUGAGCUAAUAUCCUUUAAUAAAUACAUUCUCAGCAUAAACUACCUAGGUUAGAUUCUGAUGUUUGCAACUACAAACCAUGACUGAUAAAGGAGGAAAGAGUAGAUGCUUGGAGACAAGCAGGUUAUUGCACUAGUUCAGAUGAGGUAUGCUAGUGACUUGGAUUGGGGCAGUGAAAUUGGGAAUUAAAAGCAUAUAAAACACAUUUUAGAGGUAGCCUGGAAGGAUAAGUUGGUGAUUAGAUGAGGUAAAUGAAUAUGUUAAGAAUGAUUUCCAGGAUUCUGACAGCAGCAAGUAAUGCAGAUGCCAUUUACUGGAUUAAAUACUGAGCAGAAAAAGGAAGAGUGCAGUUGAACUAAAUAACGUUCUUAUAGACAACAAAGGAAUGCCAGAUAUGCCCACAAGACAGAUAAAACUGGAAUGUCAUUAUAAAAUGAACUGAAAGAAAUCAUUUUAAGUCAUGGAAAAUUGAAAAAAAUGACAAAUUAUAAUUUGAAAAACUGAAAAGUGCAAAAAAUUUUCUGAAAUGGAGAAAUAAUAGGAAGAUAUGAAAAUACUGCUGGCAGAGUUCAGGAAAGAAUAAGAAACUUAUAAGGUGCCACAGACUACUUCAUAAGGGAGAUUGAAGAUGGAGGAAAAUUAAAAUAACAGAAACAGAUAAAAAUGAUUUGGAAAAAGUGAUGGAUACAAAAAUUAGGCACAGAUGAUUUAACAUACAUAUUGUAGAAGCCCUUAAAGAAGACAACCAAAGCAAUAAAACAGAACAAAUUCUAAAAAGUAUAAUUCAAGAAACAUCUUCUGAAAGAAAACUCACACAUGUAUAUGAAGAGGAAACUCAAUUUGAAAGAAGGGAGGAAAGGAAAAAACCAAAUGUGAUUCCCAAACCAUUGUUGCACCAUUUCAGUCUGAGCUGUCUGGUCUGGAAAUGGAAAAGGAGUUUUUUCUGGACAAAGAUGACUGGAGCUAAACAAAGAAAAAAAAAUCUCAUGAACUAAAAAAAAAAUUUAUCAGGUCUUUCAAAAGAUCCAGAACUAUUGGAUGUCUUUUCUUUAAAGAAGUGAAAAAUAUUAGCAUUGCUGUUUGUGGACUGACCAGAUCUAUCAGACGAAUGGGCUCUACGAAGGUAUCGAGAAUGCGGCCUCUCUUCUGCCUCUUGGAUUACUCUUCCCCUUCCACUAUUACUGGUUUCUUGUUCUUGAUUUCCCCACUGAUUAUAAAAGCUGCUUCCAUCUCCUGAAGGAGAAAAA
Molecule: non-coding RNA, 5746 nt
Organism: Vicugna pacos (alpaca)
Lineage: Eukaryota; Metazoa; Chordata; Mammalia; Artiodactyla; Camelidae
Source: RefSeq, a predicted model, not a curated record